UACGUAGGGUGCGAGCGUUAAUCGGAAUUACUGGGCGUAAAGCGUGCGCAGGCGGUAAUGUAAGACAGAUGUGAAAUCCCCGGGCUCAACCUGGGAACUGCAUUUGUGACUGCAUUGCUGGAGUGCGGCAGAGGGGGAUGGAAUUCCGCGUGUAGCAGUGAAAUGCGUAGAUAUGCGGAGGAACACCGAUGGCGAAGGCAAUCCCCUGGGCCUGCACUGACGCUCAUGCACGAAAGCGUGGGGAGCAAACAGG
Molecule: ribosomal RNA, 253 nt
Filed under: uncultured bacterium
Lineage: Bacteria
Description: partial 16S ribosomal RNA
Rfam family: Bacterial small subunit ribosomal RNA
Source: RNAcentral